UUUUAUGGAGAGUUUGAUCCUGGCUCAGAGUGAACGCUGGCGGCGUGCCUAAUACAUGCAAGUCGAACGAUGAAGCUUUUAGCUUGCUAGAAGUGGAUUAGUGGCGCACGGGUGAGUAAGGUAUAGUUAAUCUGCCCUACACAAGAGGACAACAGUUGGAAACGACUGCUAAUACUCUAUACUCCUGCUUAACACAAGUUGAG
This 203-nucleotide ribosomal RNA is filed under the name Campylobacter jejuni. Its description in RNAcentral is "partial 16S ribosomal RNA". It matches the Rfam family "Bacterial small subunit ribosomal RNA", at positions 1 to 197 of the family's 1533-position model. The record is from RNAcentral. Lineage: Bacteria; Pseudomonadati; Campylobacterota; Epsilonproteobacteria; Campylobacterales; Campylobacteraceae.